Molecule: long non-coding RNA, 657 nt
Filed under: Arabidopsis lyrata
Lineage: Eukaryota; Viridiplantae; Streptophyta; Magnoliopsida; Brassicales; Brassicaceae
Description: long non-coding RNA (ALYR_LNC001422)
Source: RNAcentral
UUGGUGUGGCUAGGUGGUAACGCAUGAGGUUUAGUACUCACAGAACGUGGGUUCAAUGCCAAUCAUAAGCAGGUUUUUUCUUUUAACGUUCUCCCUAACCCUAGCCGCCUCCUUGUGAGGAAAUCAAAUGCAUCGAGACGGCCUUCGAAUCAAGACCAGCGAUUUCGAUUAAGGAGAUCGGGAAAUCGGAUCUCGUAAUAGUGAAGGGUCAGCAACGGGAGAGUAAGGAUGUAGAUUUGCAACUGAUUCGGAAAUUGGCGUCAUUGGACUCUUGGGAAAGGAAAGGGAAGAAGAGGGCGACGGGGAGAGAAAAGGGAAGAAGACGGCGACAGGAUUGAGGUUACGGAUUCGAGUUGAGAUUCGAAAUAGCCUCCGACGUACUUUGAAAAGUCCAGUUUUGAUGUUGAUGACGUAAAAAAAAUUAAAAAUGGAAAAACAAAAAAAAUUGAAAAAUCUCUCGUGAAAGGUGGCUCGGAACCGGGUUCACUGAAAAAGCAGCACAAACAAUACCACUAGGCCAUUCAAAUAUUCUCAAAAGAUUUAUAAACAGGUUCUAUAUAUCUAUUUGAAAACGUAGGACGGAAAGUUAACCCGUGAUCGUUCUGUUAACGAAAAUUUGACGGCAUGCUCGAAAUGGCCAAGUCAACGAAACUUGAC